CAAUGACACUGCUCAAAACUUAAAAAAAAGAGUAGAAUAAGAUUUUUAUGAAUCCAAAAUAACUUCCAAGUUUUUGCAUUCGGAAACAAUCAGUAUUUUAACAUUCAGCCUUAGAUCUUGAGAAACUUGCAUAUAAUUGGGAGUCAUCAGCAUACUGGUCAUAACCGAAAUGAAGAUAACAAAGAAGAAAGGUUCCAGAAAAGAACCUUGAGGUAUACCUCUGUCCAACCCGAAUGCCCUCGACCUCCUAUUAUCAAUCUCAAAUAUCUGUCAUCUUUGUUCUAAGAAAAAGACUGGACUAAGGGUGUCGUAUUUCCAGCCAACAGAAUAUCAUGGAGAACUUUCAACAGCGCUGUUAAGUUGCUGAACCCCUUACGAAUCCCGGACUGACAUUUUGACGAAAG
Long non-coding RNA from Cylas formicarius (sweet potato weevil), 404 nucleotides. RefSeq lists it as uncharacterized. The transcript is spliced from 3 exons. NCBI's taxonomy places the organism in Eukaryota, Metazoa, Arthropoda, Insecta, Coleoptera, Brentidae. The record is from RefSeq and is a predicted model, not a curated record.